ACGGGUGAGUAACGCGUGGGUAACCUACCCUGUACACACGGAUAACAUACCGAAAGGUAUGCUAAUACGGGAUAAUAUAUUUGAGAGGCAUCUCUUAAAUAUCAAAGGUGAGCCAGUACAGGAUGGGCCCGCGUCUGAUUAGCUAGUUGGUAAGGUAACGGCUUACCAAGGCGACGAUCAGUAGCCGACCUGAGAGGGUGAUCGGCCACAUUGGAACUGAGACACGGUCCAAACUCCUACGGGAGGCAGCAGUGGGGAAUAUUGCACAAUGGGCGAAAGCCUGAUGCAGCAACGCCGCGUGAGUGAUGAAGGCCUUCGGGUCGUAAAACUCUGUCCUCAAGGAAGAUAAUGACGGUACUUGAGGAGGAAGCCCCGGCUAACUACGUGCCAGCAGCCGCGGUAAUACGUAGGGGGCUAGCGUUAUCCGGAUUUACUGGGCGUAAAGGGUGCGUAGGCGGUCUUUCAAGUCAGGAGUGAAAGGCUACGGCUCAACCGUAGUAAGCUCUUGAAACUGGGAGACUUGAGUGCAGGAGAGGAGAGUGGAAUUCCUAGUGUAGCGGUGAAAUGCGUAGAUAUUAGGAGGAACACCAGUUGCGAAGGCGGCUCUCUGGACUGUAACUGACGCUGAGGCACGAAAGCGUGGGGAGCAAACAGGAUUAGAUACCCUGGUAGUCCACGCUGUAAA
This 685-nucleotide ribosomal RNA is filed under the name uncultured bacterium. Its description in RNAcentral is "bacterial SSU rRNA". It matches the Rfam family "Bacterial small subunit ribosomal RNA", at positions 102 to 806 of the family's 1533-position model. The record is from RNAcentral.